UCAGAAAAUAUAAAACAUACAUAACACGAAAAUAGAUCAAAUCCGGCUACAAACCUUCGAUAAAUUCCAAGGCCAUGCCUUCAAAUACGUAUUUUCUGGUAUCAAAACAUAGAUCGCCAGAAGAUCGGACAGAAUCUGAGAGCGAGGAGCAAAGUAUUUUUCUGGUAUCAAAACAUAGAUCGCCAGACGAUCGGACAGAAUCCGAGAGCAAGCAGCACAGACUAGAAGCCAUCGACGGUUGAUCAGAAUAAAACUGAAUGAAACGAAAGCAGAGAAGAUCAAAAUAGCGG
Molecule: long non-coding RNA, 290 nt
Filed under: Citrus x clementina
Lineage: Eukaryota; Viridiplantae; Streptophyta; Magnoliopsida; Sapindales; Rutaceae
Description: Citrus clementina (C. clementina) long non-coding RNA (CCLE_LNC001270)
Source: RNAcentral